Molecule: ribosomal RNA, 497 nt
Filed under: uncultured bacterium
Lineage: Bacteria
Description: partial 16S ribosomal RNA
Rfam family: Bacterial small subunit ribosomal RNA
Source: RNAcentral
GAUGAACGCUGGCGGCGUGCCUAAUACAUGCAAGUCGAGCGAACGGACGAGAAGCUUGCUUCUCUGAUGUUAGCGGCGGACGGGUGAGUAACACGUGGAUAACCUACCUAUAAGACUGGGAUAACUUCGGGAAACCGGAGCUAAUACCGGAUGAUAUUUUGAACCGCAUGGUUCAAAAGUGAAAGACGGUCUUGCUGUCACUUAUAGAUGGAUCCGCGCUGCAUUAGCUAGUUGGUAAGGUAACGGCUUACCAAGGCAACGAUGCGUAGCCGACCUGAGAGGGUGAUCGGCCACACUGGAACUGAGACACGGUCCAGACUCCUACGGGAGGCAGCAGUAGGGAAUCAUCCGCAAUGGGCGAAAGCCUGACGGAGCAACGCCGCGUGAGUGAUGAAGGUCUUCGGAUCGUAAAACUCUGUUAUUAGGGAAGAACAUAUGUGUAAGUAACUGUGCACAUCUUGACGGUACCUAAUCAGAAAGCCACGGCUAACUACGUG